CCAGUUCGGCCGCAGCGUUAGCCAGAUAUCCGAGUGUAGGAAACCGUGGCAGGAGCACGGCGGAACGUGGCACGGCGCGGCGGGAGUAACACUGCGUUCGUGUCCCGUUUCCACUGCGCGGCACCGUGAACAAGCAAAUGCCAUUUCCCGAAGCGAAAUACAGAGGACUGUUUCAAGUUCCAAGCAGCAGCCACCACGGUGACCUUCUUUCGUCCCUUCAGCCUUUGCCUUCUCCGCUGCUAGUUUCUGCAUUUCCCUCCCAUCUGCCUUUCUCAUCACUGCUGUGCCUCCCGCGCUGGCCUCGGGGACAGCCUGGUUUGAGGACAGCAAGAGCUCUGGAUCACUAAGUAGGGCUGCAAAACAGUCCUAAGAUUACUUUCCUCUUGGCCGUGUUUCUUAUACAAGUCCGCAUAUAAUCAGAUCGAUGCCAAGUCUUCCUGUACUCGUUCACUCAGUCUGUGACUCAUUAACUUCAGUUCACUUAGACUAGUUCAGUAGAAUUGCAAGACCAUAGCACUGGCAUAAAAUUUAUCUUCUGAAUGUCCUGGACCAAUAGAUUUGAAUUAAUUGCUAUUAACAUUACUGUGAAAUUUGGUCAGGCUGGUAAGCUUCCUAAGAUUGAACAUGAUUUCUCCCUUCCCUUGUCUCCCUUUCUUCAUUAUCCUCUGUUAAAAGCUAACAGUUAACAUUUGAGAGGAGAAAUCUUGUAAUUUGUUUCUUAAACUUCUGACUAGAGCUGCACUUUGGUUUUCUACAGUCUUAUUAAUGUGAGAUAAAGCUUUCUUUACAGCACACUACAAGGGACAUAUACAAUCAUAAAUAGAGCUCUUUCUGUAAGGAAUUAAGCUUCCAUUUUGCCUAGAGCAUUGUCAAAGCUGGAAAUUCUCUGUGCCGGAACACUUAGACUUUCUUCAAUCUAACAUCAAAACAUCUCUUUGUUUGCUCUGACUUGUUCAAAGAUGGAAGAAACAGAACCGGAAUUCAGUGUAAAUCGUAACAGUCCCUGGCAGAACAGAGUUCAUACUGUGAUGAAAGGGAAUUCUAGUUUGGCAGAGGACAAAACCUGCAGCCUGGAGCGGACUGAUGCAGAAAAUCCCCAACUAUUCCACGCAGAGUUCAUUGAAUGCCCACCACCUUGUGCCCCAAAAUCACCCCACUGUGCACAAACCCAGUGCUGAUUGCAUCUGUGCUACUCCCUGUGAAAACCAGAAUCCACGUUCUUAUCUUAGGCCAGUUUUACAAUUACUGUAAAAGGAGUAAGAAAUGUAUCUUCAAGUCCUGAGUCUGGUGGCACAAACUAACAGUCAGUCUUUUAACAAUGAAGAAAAUACUCUUCAAAUCAGCUAUUCCCAUGUGUUGACUUUGGUAGGCUGAUGUACUGCUUAUACAUUUAGAUACAUAUAAUAACAUAUAAUUAUAUAUAUUACAUUAUAAUAAGUGCAUGGAAACUGUUAACAAUUUAUUACUCUAUUUACAUGUAUUUUACUGCAGUUCCAUAUAUGCACUUACUAUACCUUUUAUAUAUAUAAUAUAGAAUGCACACACACAUAUAGGUACAAUAAAUUUAGCCCUUGUGACAUAGUGGAAAGGCAGUGUGUUAUUUUGGGAGUUGUCUUCAUAUGGAAUUUGGACUGGUUCUGGCUUCCAAGGGAAUGGAGAUUGACCAAAAGUGAAAAAUUUGCACAUUUUUGUACAGACAGCUAGACUCAGAUUUUAGUACAACUCGAGAAAUAACAAUUGUGUUUUCCAAUGUUUCACUUAAACAUCUUUAUAAUUCAAUUAGCAUCUUUAUAACUGCUAUGAAACAUAUUUAUAAAUGCUAUGAAAUCAUAAUUUUGAAGAUAAAAAGUCAGAUUAUUAGCUGGAAAAAAUAAAGCUUACCAAAAGGCAGUUUUUACAAACAUCUUAACUUUGGAGGUUUCUCAAGGCACCACUUUAGGGAAUAGUAUUUUCAAGCUGCUGAAUAUUCUUUUCUGCUUGCAAGAUGUUUUCUAUCCUUUUGACACUUAAAUGAAGAAUGCCUGGACACUUUUGGAAGCCAGUAAGACAGUAACUGUUAUCAGAGUUUUGAAAACACAUUUUUAACUGCCAAGUUUUUACCCCAUUCCAAGUGUGGCAUUUGAAACAAUUUGGAAGCAACAUUAUUAGAGCCACCUUAGCAUACUUUUGGAAUCAGCACUAUUGCUCUUCCUGUGAAGAAAGCAGAAUUUGCACUGGGGUUAAUUCACAUGCAAGUACAGUAAUUUGACUAUAUUACUUACAGUAAUACAGUUUAAUGUCAGCAUAAAUAUAUAGAGGACUUGAGGCUACAUGCACUAAGUAAAUACAUACAUGUACUCGAAAAGCUGCUUGGGCAAAUACACCUCAGUGGUUAAUAAAGUAUUAUUUUCUUUCAAUUUAUCAAAUGUAAAUUAGUUUUAUGUAUAUUCAAAGAUUAAGUUUUUCUCAUAGUGAAUUAGAAGUGGUCUAAUUAUAGCUAUCAUCAGGUGAUGCAAGAUCCCAGCAAGAUGACAAUAUUAUGAUGCUAUAAAUAAUUUACUUAUGUAGAGAAUCACACUUUACCAUAUUAAUAACUUUAAUUUUAGUAUUUUGGUUUUUUCCCCUAAGUAUUAAAAAGCAGUUUUUCUCUGCACAUUUUCAGUUAUCUUAAAAAUGUGACAUCCAGUGAAAGAUUACCAAAAUCUUUUUCCUUAGAAGAACAGCUGACAGUCUAUCCAGCCCCACUGGUAAGCAUUUGAUUCAGACUGUUAGGAACAGGACAGGAAGUUUGGGGGGGGGAAAAAAAAUCCUCCCAUUUUAGAUAAGUAUCCCACGGUUAUUUUAAUUUUAACACAAUCUGUUUUUAUAUAUACUUCUUGUUUCUUCUGCUGUCCUCAAAAAUUCCAUGUGUCCUUUAGGCACUGGUACUUUCCCUGUAAAGAAAUUCUGUCUCUUGCCUUCACUCAGAACAAAUUUUGUGUUUCUUGACUGCUGCCACAACAUUUCAGCAUUCUCUUCAAACCCUUUCUCUCUUGUUAAGAAACUCCAUAUAUUAUAACCUUUAUUUACACUUUAAAUGUAAAUUUAAAUCCUGGACCAUAUUUUGAUUGCAAAUGUAAUGCUGUUAGUGACUACAGGCCAACCAAUGAUAACAAAUUUCAGAUUAUUAAAUUUAAUUCCACUCAAAUAAAUUAAUUUCACCUUUUCACUGCCCAACUUUUUUUUGAAAGGAAAGAACCUCACAAAUAAAAGCCAUGUUCUUGUCUGCAAUA
This is a long non-coding RNA of Cyanistes caeruleus (blue tit), 3251 nucleotides long. RefSeq lists it as uncharacterized. Lineage: Eukaryota; Metazoa; Chordata; Aves; Passeriformes; Paridae. The record is from RefSeq and is a predicted model, not a curated record.